Non-coding RNA from Ornithorhynchus anatinus (platypus), 134 nucleotides. The record is from Rfam. Lineage: Eukaryota; Metazoa; Chordata; Mammalia; Monotremata; Ornithorhynchidae.
CCCCUCUCAGGGUCACCCCUGGAGAGAUUCCAGUACUCUACCUGCUUCGACUACCGGAGGGAGAAGCAGAGGCAUACCCAUUCCAUUCCUAGGUUGGACAGAAGCUAGUGAAUGGAAGACAGUCUGCUACAAGU